This 92-nucleotide transfer RNA is filed under the name Streptomyces sp. V17-9. RNAcentral's name for it is "tRNA-Ala". The record is from RNAcentral. RNAcentral also lists the same sequence under 1 other name. Lineage: Bacteria; Bacillati; Actinomycetota; Actinomycetes; Kitasatosporales; Streptomycetaceae.
GGACCGGUGGGGCGGCGGGACGGGCCCCCGGGCGCGCGGCCUGCGGGCGCAGCGGAAUGACGCGGGCUUCGUUCGGCACGUGGCUGGUCACC